GGCAAUGUAACUCAGUGGUGAAGCACUUGCCUAACAUGCAUGAGGUCCUAGGUUCAAUCCCCAGUAUUGCAA
This 72-nucleotide transfer RNA is filed under the name Fukomys damarensis (Damara mole-rat). It matches the Rfam family "tRNA". Rfam says of the family: Transfer RNA (tRNA) molecules are approximately 80 nucleotides in length. Their secondary structure includes four short double-helical elements and three loops (D, anti-codon, and T loops). Further hydrogen bonds mediate the characteristic L-shaped molecular structure. tRNAs have two regions of fundamental functional importance: the anti-codon, which is responsible for specific mRNA codon recognition, and the 3' end, to which the tRNAs corresponding amino acid is attached (by aminoacyl-tRNA synthetases). tRNAs cope with the degeneracy of the genetic code in two manners: having more than one tRNA (with a specific anti-codon) for a particular amino acid; and 'wobble' base-pairing, i.e. permitting non-standard base-pairing at the 3rd anti-codon position. The record is from Rfam by way of RNAcentral. Lineage: Eukaryota; Metazoa; Chordata; Mammalia; Rodentia; Bathyergidae.